Molecule: ribosomal RNA, 232 nt
Filed under: uncultured bacterium
Lineage: Bacteria
Description: partial 16S ribosomal RNA
Rfam family: Bacterial small subunit ribosomal RNA
Source: RNAcentral
CGGGACGGGUGAGUAAUGUCUGGGAAACUGCCUGAUGGAGGGGGAUAACUACUGGAAACGGUAGCUAAUACCGCAUAACGUCGCAAGACCAAAGAGGGGGACCUUGGGCCUCUUGCCAUCGGAUGUGCCCAGAUGGGAUUAGCUAGUAGGUGGGGUAAAGGCUCACCUAGGCGACGAUCCCUAGCUGGUCUGAGAGGAUGACCAGCCACACUGGAACUGAGACACGGUCCAG